UACGUAGGGGGCAAGCGUUGUCCGGAUUUAUUGGGCGUAAAGAGCGUGUAGGCGGUUAGGUAGGUCCGUUGUGAAAACUCGAGGCUCAACCUCGAGACGCCGAUGGAAACCAUCUGACUAGAGUCCGGAAGAGGAGAGUGGAAUUCCUGGUGUAGCGGUGAAAUGCGCAGAUAUCUGGAGGAACACCGGUGGCGAAGGCGGCAUCCUGGACCGGUAUUGACACUGAAAAGCGAAAGCCAGGGGAGCAAACGGG
Molecule: ribosomal RNA, 253 nt
Filed under: uncultured bacterium
Lineage: Bacteria
Description: partial 16S ribosomal RNA
Rfam family: Bacterial small subunit ribosomal RNA
Source: RNAcentral